GACCGAUGUGAGUUGGCUAAUAUUAUG
This 27-nucleotide non-coding RNA is filed under the name Bombyx mori (domestic silkworm). Lineage: Eukaryota; Metazoa; Arthropoda; Insecta; Lepidoptera; Bombycidae. The record is from RNAcentral.